Transfer RNA from Coprinopsis cinerea okayama7#130, 71 nucleotides. It matches the Rfam family "tRNA". From Rfam's summary of the family: Transfer RNA (tRNA) molecules are approximately 80 nucleotides in length. NCBI's taxonomy places the organism in Eukaryota, Fungi, Basidiomycota, Agaricomycetes, Agaricales, Psathyrellaceae. The record is from Rfam.
AAGAGCGUAGUAUAAUGGUAGUAUAGCGGUCUCCAAAACUGUUUGUAGGUGUUCGAUUCGCCUCGCUCUUG